GCCUGUAGCUCGGGGUGCUCCUAAUUGGUGCUGAGAAUAUACCCGUAAACCUGAACUGGAUAAUACCAGCGUAGGAAAGUUAAGGACACUUAGU
This 94-nucleotide non-coding RNA is filed under the name Flavobacteriaceae bacterium. Its description in RNAcentral is "TPP sequence". It matches the Rfam family "TPP riboswitch aptamer (THI element)". Rfam says of the family: Vitamin B(1) in its active form thiamin pyrophosphate (TPP) is an essential coenzyme that is synthesised by coupling of pyrimidine and thiazole moieties in bacteria. The previously detected thiamin-regulatory element, thi box was extended, resulting in a new, highly conserved RNA secondary structure, the THI element, which is widely distributed in eubacteria and also occurs in some archaea. The record is from RNAcentral. RNAcentral also lists the same sequence under 1 other name. Lineage: Bacteria; Pseudomonadati; Bacteroidota; Flavobacteriia; Flavobacteriales; Flavobacteriaceae.